GGGUUGUGAGGUUAAGCGACUAAGCGUACACGGUGGAUGCCCUGGCAGUCAGAGGCGAUGAAGGACGUGCUAAUCUGCGAAAAGCGUCGGUAAGGUGAUAUGAACCGUUAUAACCGGCGAUGUCCGAAUGGGGAAACCCAGUGCAAUUCGUUGCACUAUCGUUAACUGAAUACAUAGGUUAACGAGGCGAACCGGGGGAACUGAAACAUCUAAGUACCCCGAGGAAAAGAAAUCAACCGAGAUUCCCCCAGUAGCGGCGAGCGAACGGGGAGCAGCCCAGAGUCUGAAUCAGCUUGUGUGUUAGUGGAACGGUCUGGAAAGUCCGACGGUACAGGGUGAUAGUCCCGUACACCAAAAUGCACAGGCUGUGAACUCGAAGAGUAGGGCGGGACACGUGGUAUCCUGUCUGAAUAUGGGGGGGACCAUCCUCCAAGGCUAAAUACUCCUGACUGACCGAUAGUGAACCAGUACCGUGAGGGAAAGGCGAAAAGAACCCCGGCGAGGGGAGUGAAAAAGAACCUGAAACCGUGUACGUACAAGCAGUGGGAGCACCUUCGGGUGUGACUGCGUACCUUUUGUAUAAUGGGUCAGCGACUUAUAUUCUGUAGCAAGGUUAACCGUAUAGGGGAGCCGCAGGGAAACCGAGUCUUAACUGGGCGUUAAGUUGCAGGGUAUAGACCCGAAACCCGGUGAUCUAGCCAUGGGCAGGUUGAAGGUUGGGUAACACUAACUGGAGGACCGAACCGACUAAUGUUGAAAAAUUAGCGGAUGACUUGUGGCUGGGGGUGAAAGGCCAAUCAAACCGGGAGAUAGCUGGUUCUCCCCGAAAGCUAUUUAGGUAGCGCCUCGUGAAUUCAUCUUCGGGGGUAGAGCACUGUUUCGGCUAGGGGGUCAUCCCGACUUACCAACCCGAUGCAAACUACGAAUACCGAAGAAUGUUAUCACGGGAGACACACGGCGGGUGCUAACGUCCGUCGUGAAGAGGGAAACAACCCAGACCGCCAGCUAAGGUCCCAAAGUCAUGGUUAAGUGGGAAACGAUGUGGGAAGGCACAGACAGCCAGGAUGUUGGCUUAGAAGCAGCCAUCAUUUAAAGAAAGCGUAAUAGCUCACUGGUCGAGUCGGCCUGCGCGGAAGAUGUAACGGGGCUAAACCAUGCACCGAAGCUGCGGCAGCGACACUAUGUGUUGUUGGGUAGGGGAGCGUUCUGUAAGCCUGCGAAGGUGUGCUGUGAGGCAUGCUGGAGGUAUCAGAAGUGCGAAUGCUGACAUAAGUAACGAUAAAGCGGGUGAAAAGCCCGCUCGCCGGAAGACCAAGGGUUCCUGUCCAACGUUAAUCGGGGCAGGGUGAGUCGACCCCUAAGGCGAGGCCGAAAGGCGUAGUCGAUGGGAAACAGGUUAAUAUUCCUGUACUUGGUGUUACUGCGAAGGGGGGGACGGAGAAGGCUAUGUUAGCCGGGCGACGGUUGUCCCGGUUUAAGCAUGUAGGCUGGUUGUCCAGGCAAAUCCGGAUAAUCAAGGCUGAGGUGUGAUGACGAGGCACUACGGUGCUGAAGUAACAAAUGCCCUGCUUCCAGGAAAAGCCUCUAAGCAUCAGGUAACAUUAAAUCGUACCCCAAACCGACACAGGUGGUCAGGUAGAGAAUACCAAGGCGCUUGAGAGAACUCGGGUGAAGGAACUAGGCAAAAUGGUGCCGUAACUUCGGGAGAAGGCACGCUGGUGUGUAGGUGAAGUCCCUGCGGAUGGAGCUGAGACCAGUCGAAGAUACCAGCUGGCUGCAACUGUUUAUUAAAAACACAGCACUGUGCAAACACGAAAGUGGACGUAUACGGUGUGACGCCUGCCCGGUGCCGGAAGGUUAAUUGAUGGGGUUAUCCGUAAGGAGAAGCUCUUGAUCGAAGCCCCGGUAAACGGCGGCCGUAACUAUAACGGUCCUAAGGUAGCGAAAUUCCUUGUCGGGUAAGUUCCGACCUGCACGAAUGGCGUAAUGAUGGCCAGGCUGUCUCCACCCGAGACUCAGUGAAAUUGAACUCGCUGUGAAGAUGCAGUGUACCCGCGGCAAGACGGAAAGACCCCGUGAACCUUUACUAUAGCUUGACACUGAACAUUGAGCCUUGAUGUGUAGGAUAGGUGGGAGGCUUUGAAGCGUGGACGCCAGUCUGCGUGGAGCCAACCUUGAAAUACCACCCUUUAAUGUUUGAUGUUCUAACGUUGGCCCCUGACCGGGGUUGCGGACAGUGUCUGGUGGGUAGUUUGACUGGGGCGGUCUCCUCCCAAAGCGUAACGGAGGAGCACGAAGGUUAGCUAAUCCUGGUCGGACAUCAGGAGGUUAGUGCAAUGGCAUAAGCUAGCUUGACUGCGAGCGUGACGGCGCGAGCAGGUGCGAAAGCAGGUCAUAGUGAUCCGGUGGUUCUGAAUGGAAGGGCCAUCGCUCAACGGAUAAAAGGUACUCCGGGGAUAACAGGCUGAUACCGCCCAAGAGUUCAUAUCGACGGCGGUGUUUGGCACCUCGAUGUCGGCUCAUCACAUCCUGGGGCUGAAGUAGGUCCCAAGGGUAUGGCUGUUCGCCAUUUAAAGUGGUACGCGAGCUGGGUUUAGAACGUCGUGAGACAGUUCGGUCCCUAUCUGCCGUGGGCGCUGGAGAAUUGAGGGGGGGCUGCUCCUAGUACGAGAGGACCGGAGUGGACGCAUCACUGGUGUUCGGGUUGUCAUGCCAAUGGCACUGCCCGGUAGCUAAAUGCGGAAGAGAUAAGUGCUGAAAGCAUCUAAGCACGAAACUUGCCCCGAGAUGAGUUCUCCCUGAGACUUUAAGUCUCCUGAAGGAACGUUGAAGACGACGACGUUGAUAGGCCGGGUGUGUAAGCGCAGCGAUGCGUUGAGCUAACCGGUACUAAUGAACCGUGAGGCUUAACCUUACAACGCCGAAG
Molecule: ribosomal RNA, 2926 nt
Filed under: Klebsiella pneumoniae
Lineage: Bacteria; Pseudomonadati; Pseudomonadota; Gammaproteobacteria; Enterobacterales; Enterobacteriaceae
Description: bacterial LSU rRNA
Rfam family: Bacterial large subunit ribosomal RNA
Source: RNAcentral